UACAGAGGGUGCGAGCGUUGUUCGGAAUUAUUGGGCGUAAAGGGCGCGUAGGCGGUGCGGUAAGUCACCUGUGAAAUCUCCUGGCUCAACUGGGAGCUUGCAGGCGAAACUGCCGUGCUGGAGUGUGGGAGAGGUGAGUGGGAUUCCCGGUGUAGCGGUGAAAUGCGUAGAUAUUGGGAAGAACACCGGUGGCGAAGGCGGCUCUCUGGACCGUAACUGACGCUGAGGCGCGAAAGCUAGGGGAGCGAACAGG
RNAcentral lists this ribosomal RNA (253 nucleotides) under uncultured bacterium. RNAcentral describes it as "partial 16S ribosomal RNA". It matches the Rfam family "Bacterial small subunit ribosomal RNA", at positions 524 to 776 of the family's 1533-position model. The record is from RNAcentral.